UAUUUGGAGAGAAGGUUGACUGCAAUAGGCAUGUCUAAGAUGCCUGAGUUUGAAUCAUGAUUCCAGAAAUACCAUUUUCAAUGGAUGAUAGGGUUGUGAUUUUUUGGUUCAACCCAAUAACCCAAACUGAUAAUUAGUUUAUCGAGUUAGUGGAUUGGUUUUGUUACUUUUUGAGUCGAGUAUCGGGUUAAAUAUUUUUUUAUUGGUUUAUCGGUUUGGUCCUCAAGUUUAGAGAAUUUUUAAUCGUGCUACCCGAUAUCCCGAUACACAAAUAAGUACACUACAGGAUUAAUCAUCCUAACAGGACACUAUUCCAAGCGGCCCAAAAUCUAAAGGGUUAGUGUCAACCCAAGCAGACCAAAGCGCAAAGGUAAUAGGUGUAUAGGGUGUAUACUUUAUUCUUUUCAUUCCCUCUCUCACUAGUCAUUACAAUUAGUGCCUCUCACACUACAAUUCAUAUUUUUUAUCUCACAAUCAGAUGUUGAUUUCACAAUUAGCCGAUUGAGCAAUAUUUCGUCCCUACGAUCAGCUUAAUUUUUGCUCAAAACUGCUCAAUUUAGAGGGACAAAAUAUUGCUCGGCUAUUGCUACUCAUACUCACUAUUGUUGUUGCGCUAAAACAGUACAGUUGAAGGUCAUGGAUGUGGCUAAUCAUCUUCAUUUAGAGACAAAGAAGAUAGAUGACCAGUGGCACUUUAAAGCAUACUAGAUAAAUUGUAUCUAAUUCUAUUUGUACUACCAAAUUAUGAAGGCUCUUACCGAAGGAAAGACUGAUUCCAAUUAUUUUUAGUUUGAGAUGGAUAGAAUAUAGUAGGCUUGGAAUUUCUCUCUUUCCUUUAUGAUGUAAGAGUUCGUGUCUUGGAAAAUAUUUGUCCCUUUGUGUGUUAAUUUAACUGAAUGUUGCAGUGUUGUUGCCUCAA
Capsicum annuum is the source of this 919-nucleotide long non-coding RNA. RefSeq lists it as uncharacterized. NCBI's taxonomy places the organism in Eukaryota, Viridiplantae, Streptophyta, Magnoliopsida, Solanales, Solanaceae. The record is from RefSeq and is a predicted model, not a curated record. The transcript is spliced from 2 exons.